CUGGACCUUAACUCAUGAAUCUUUAUUAUAUUUUCUCUCCCUUGUCCAGAUGAGAAGUGGAGUAAUUGAGCAGCUUUGGUGAGUGUCUGACAUCCAGCCAGGGUCAACCCACUCAAAUGUCAAUGACAUUUUGGAAACUCAGUCACAGGCACUCUACUACCAAACCUGUGUGUGUGACUUAUGGAAAUGAAUUUGAUUGGUGUGCAGGCUAACAAAAUAAGUCACUUGAUUACUCAUGAUCUUGAGUGAAGAUAUGGAAGAAUGAAGAUACAGAAGAGUGAAGAUGUCAAGUAAUGCCUAAUUAAAAUGACUGAUUCAUGAUCAAGGGACUAUUUUCACUCCCUGAACUGAAGAAUCCUUCCCUAAGCAUUAUUGAUUCUUGGUUCAGGCAUUGACUUCUGCCUACAACUCUGCUGCUCUAAUAUCUGGAAAGAAAUUGAUAUUCCAGAGGAAAUUGGCUACUGCAAGCCUGAAGCUGUCUAAAGAAAUAACUACAUCAGCUAAGCUGCACAUCUACUUCACUUUGAGUGCCUGUGCUUUCAGACUUCCAGUAAAUUCAACAGUUUUCUUUAUGCAUAUAAACAUACCUCAGAAUGGCAGAACCAUUAAUUUAUAUAGUGGGAAUGCAACUUCCUGGAAAGUACACAUUAAAAAAAAAAAAAAUUCACUUGGGAAACAAGGAUUUCCAAAAGGAGACAUGGAAAUAUUCAGGGAAAUGAAUAUUUUGUUAAUUUUUCUGAGUUGA
This 745-nucleotide long non-coding RNA is filed under the name Zonotrichia albicollis (white-throated sparrow). Its description in RNAcentral is "lncRNA (ENSZALG00000007886.1)". Lineage: Eukaryota; Metazoa; Chordata; Aves; Passeriformes; Passerellidae. The record is from RNAcentral.